UACGGGGGGGGCAAGCGUUGUUCGGAAUUACUGGGCGUAAAGGGCGCGUAGGCGGCCUUCUAAGUCGGACGUGAAAUCCCUCGGCUUAACCGAGGAACUGCGUCCGAUACUGAAAGGCUUGAAUCCGGGAGAGGGAUGUGGAAUUCCAGGUGUAGAGGUGAAAUUCGUAGAUAUUCGCAAGAACACCAGUGGCGAAGGCGGCUCACUGGCCCGAUACUGACGCUGAGGUGCGAAAGCGUGGGGAGCAAACAGG
This 253-nucleotide ribosomal RNA is filed under the name uncultured bacterium. RNAcentral describes it as "partial 16S ribosomal RNA". It matches the Rfam family "Bacterial small subunit ribosomal RNA", at positions 524 to 776 of the family's 1533-position model. The record is from RNAcentral.